AACGAACGCUGGCGGCAUGCCUAACACAUGCAAGUCGAACGAGACCUCCCGGUCUAUUUGCGCACCUGUGCGUAACGCGGGGGAACUUGCCCUUAGGUUCGGAAUAACUCCCUGAAGGGGGUCCUAAUACCGCAUAAUGUAUUCGGACCAACGAUCUACCGCUUUGGGGUGGGCCCGCGUUGGAUUAGCCAGUUGGGAGGGUAAAAGCCUACCAAGGCGACGAUCCAUAGCUGGUCGGAGAGGAAGAUCAGCCACACUGGGACAGGGACACGGCCCAGACUCCUGGGGGAGGCAGCAAUGGGGAAAAUAGGACAAGGGGCGAAAGCCUGAUCCGGCACGGCCGGGAGAGCGAUGAAGGCGUUGGGAUUGUAAUGCGCUUUUACCCGAGCUGAUAAGAACAGAACCGGUAAAAUAGGCUCGGGCAAACUCCGU
RNAcentral lists this ribosomal RNA (432 nucleotides) under uncultured bacterium. Its description in RNAcentral is "partial 16S ribosomal RNA". It matches the Rfam family "Bacterial small subunit ribosomal RNA", at positions 29 to 506 of the family's 1533-position model. The record is from RNAcentral.